RNAcentral lists this ribosomal RNA (467 nucleotides) under uncultured bacterium. RNAcentral's name for it is "partial 16S ribosomal RNA". It matches the Rfam family "Bacterial small subunit ribosomal RNA", at positions 28 to 506 of the family's 1533-position model. The record is from RNAcentral.
GACGAACGCUGGCGGCGUGCUUAACACAUGCAAGUCGAACGGAAAGGCCCUGCUUUUGUGGGGUGCUCGAGUGGCGAACGGGUGAGUAACACGUGAGUAACCUGCCCUUGACUUUGGGAUAACUUCAGGAAACUGGGGCUAAUACCGGAUAGGAGCUCCUGCUGCAUGGGGGGGGUUGGAAAGUUUCGGCGGUUGGGGAUGGACUCGCGGCUUAUCAGCUUGUUGGUGGGGUAGUGGCUUACCAAGGCUUUGACGGGUAGCCGGCCUGAGAGGGUGACCGGCCCCAUUGGGCCUGAGAUGCGGCCCAGACUCCUACGGGAGGCAGCAGUGGGGAAUAUUGCACAAUGGGCGGAGGCCUGCUGCAGCAACGCCGCGUGCGGGAUGACGGCCUUCGGGUUGUAAACCGCUUUCGCCUGUGACGAAGCGUGAGUGACGGUACUGGGGAAAGAAGCACCGGCUAACUACGU